AACCAGCUUAAACCGUAGUAAACCACAGAAAACCGGAACCAAGCAAAACCCUAGCUCUAGCAACGUUUCAGCCGUUCCCUAGCAUCCGCUGUCGCCUUCUCUGGAGCUUGCUCACCGCCUUCAACAACGUGUAUCUCGAGCUCUCCCGGUCAGUUGUAACCACUCCGGUGGCAACCACAUGAAGGCGAUGGGGAGCGCGACCCAAAGAAGCCCCUGUGAACUUCGCCGGAGCCGUGAAGUUCGCCGGGGCAGACGACCUUCACCAGUCAAUCUUGAAUCUCCAUGCAUACCCUCCGUCGACCUCAGCGUAACUACAAGACGCGGUUUCCACCACUUCCACAAAGGUAUCAGAUCUGAGAAAAAGCCUCCUCCACCUGCCAUCCUCGAGCAGAUGCUAAGGAAGAUACACCAGAUCUGGAAUCCCGCUUCAGAGAGCAUCUUCCGAACCACCGCAGCUCCGUCGGUCUCCUCACCGCGCAUGGCCAGAAAGGAGAGAGAGUUUCCCGGUUAACAUGUAACCAGAAACGCCAUCAGCACCACCGAAAUAGAAGAAAACAAAGAGAAACAAAAGCCCUCUCACACCACCGGCGGUGAAGCUGAUGGCGGAGAGGCAAGCGGCGGAUGUAGUUUUAGAGAGAGGUUGGAGAAAAGUUUUUACAGAGAGAGGUAGGAGAAGUUUCUUUAGAGAGAGGUUGGAGAAAAGUGAGAGGGAGGUAGUUAUGAGCUGAGUUCAUUUGAUGUGAGAAAGAGCAAUCAGUAAUCUCAGAGAGCCAGAAAAUCAUGGCAAGCUCAAGCUCGACUCUUACGAGGGUACUAUGUUUCUUGAUUAGUUAGACGGACUUAGCUGAAGCUAUUGGUGCUUCCCUCCUUCAGUCAAUGGUGGGUACAUAUCUGACUUUGAUAUCUUUGUGAUCGGUACGUCUGCUAGAAAUUACAGACUUUCUCUUUAUGUUUUCCGACGAAACCAUCUCUUUUCUACAUGGUUGAUUGGGCAAGUAAAAUGUCGAAUAGUGCAGAAAGAAUAGGAAAAUAUGAAUAAUAUUUUAGUAAUUGCAAAUCCUCUUCUUCUUCUUUUUUCCUCUAUCUGCUUUCCAGCUUAUGACCUAGAGAUUAAAGCCGGUGCAUGUCUAAGGAUUACCAAGUGCAGUGAGUUCGAGUAUUGCCCAACUCCAAUGGAACAUGACAGACCUUCACCAGCAAUGGCUUCCAGGAAUUCAAAAGCGGACGCGUCUCUCUCACCACACGUGUUCUUUGAUGAUGUGGUUCCCGAAAUUUGCAUUGACACUGUGUCCGAUGUGGUGUAUAACCACGGCGAUAUUUCUGGAGGGGUUUCCUCGAGUCCAAAAUCCGAAUCAAAGGUUCAUGGAUUCAUAGAAAAGGUUCCAGCACGUGGUUGAUGCUAGUUGUGUGAACAAAUCACUGAAGAAUGUGGCUUUAAAGAAGGUUAUAACGUGAUCAUAUAAGAAGUGUGUCUGAGUUACUAUGAACCUUUGUUUGUUAUAAGUAGUUUAAAUUUGGGGAUUGGAAAAUUUAUUGUAUUUUGCGUGUGUGAAGCUGGAGUUGGUGUGGCAUGACUCAUAGCUGGAGUUGGUGUGGCAUGACUCAACCAAUGGCUCGAUCAAGACUAUGAAACUCAGUUAGAUGGCCCCAGUGGAAAUGAAUCAUCAUAUUUCUCUUGUGGAGUGUUUCUUAUACUGACCCUAGAAGUGAAUCAGAUGCCUUUUCUAGUCAAUGAUUACCGAACAAGUUUCAGAUCACUGAAUCGAUAGCUAUAUAUGUUUUUCCUACAAAUGUGUAUGUAUGCUUAAAUAGAACAGUUUCAGCUAGAAAUAAACUAAAUAAAUUUUGUUUUCAUUUUUUAAUCUGAGAUGUGUUACGGUCAGCGGUUGAUGAGACUUUAAGAAAACAAAACAAGUUGUUUGAAUGCCU
Brassica napus (rape) is the source of this 1929-nucleotide long non-coding RNA. RefSeq lists it as uncharacterized. The transcript has 5 exons. The record is from RefSeq and is a predicted model, not a curated record. NCBI's taxonomy places the organism in Eukaryota, Viridiplantae, Streptophyta, Magnoliopsida, Brassicales, Brassicaceae.